CCUGCCGGGUCUCUACCGCUCGAGACUGGAGGACGAGAGAACGCGCCAUGGCGACCGGCCCGGAGCUGGGACCCAGGGGCGCGCUGAGGGCGCCCGGGUUGGCCUGGACCCGGGCAGCCAGCGAGGUGGGGGCGCUUAGUGCACCCAAAGGAUUGGACCGGACCUGUCUCUGGGACACGUUAAAGGUCGUAGUAAGAAGUAAGGUGCUGUGUUGGCGAACAAAGGUCACUGCAUACGUGCAAAUGAAGGCGAAGGAUAAUAAGCAAAGGGUCAACAAAGCUACAGAUUGUGAUUCGUGUGCUCUCUAA
This 308-nucleotide long non-coding RNA is filed under the name Fukomys damarensis (Damara mole-rat). RNAcentral describes it as "lncRNA (ENSFDAG00000024566.1)". Lineage: Eukaryota; Metazoa; Chordata; Mammalia; Rodentia; Bathyergidae. The record is from RNAcentral.